This 260-nucleotide long non-coding RNA is filed under the name Columba livia (rock pigeon). RNAcentral's name for it is "partial uncharacterized LOC106145873". Lineage: Eukaryota; Metazoa; Chordata; Aves; Columbiformes; Columbidae. The record is from RNAcentral.
AGCCUCUUGACCGGCUGCUCUCCUUUCCUUUCUGUUUUCCAGAUGAGUUUGCCACACAGGAGUACAGUGCUCCUUGCACCACAGCCAAGGCUGAACAGGGAAAUGCCUGAAGACCACAUCUUGUCUGAACCUUGCUGGAACAACACGCAUGUCUCUCCCCCUAGAAGUUCUUGUUGCAGGGGCCUAUUGAAAUGUUAGAGGAGGACACCUCAGCACCAAAAAGGAAGCAACACUGUAAAUAAAUUAAGUCUUCAUUCUCA